Molecule: ribosomal RNA, 484 nt
Filed under: uncultured bacterium
Lineage: Bacteria
Description: partial 16S ribosomal RNA
Rfam family: Bacterial small subunit ribosomal RNA
Source: RNAcentral
AUUGAACGCUGGCGGAAUGCUUUACACAUGCAAGUCGAACGGCAGCACGGGGGCAGCCCUGGUGGCGAGUGGCGAACGGGUGAGUAAUACAUCGGAACGUGCCCGGUCGUGGGGGAUAACGUAGCGAAAGUUACGCUAAUACCGCAUACGAUCUGAGGAUGAAAGCGGGGGACCUUCGGGCCUCGCGCGAUCGGAGCGGCCGAUGUCAGAUUAGGUAGUUGGUGGGGUAAAGGCCUACCAAGCCGACGAUCUGUAGCUGGUCUGAGAGGACGACCAGCCACACUGGGACUGAGACACGGCCCAGACUCCUACGGGAGGCAGCAGUGGGGAAUUUUGGACAAUGGGCGCAAGCCUGAUCCAGCCAUUCCGCGUGCAGGACGAAGGCCUUCGGGUUGUAAACUGCUUUUGUACGGAACGAAAGGGCUCUGGCUAAUACCUGGGGCUCAUGACGGUACCGUAAGAAUAAGCACCGGCUAACUACGUG